UAAACGACUCUCGGCAACGGAUAUCUCGGCUCACGCAUCGAUGAAGAACGUAGCAAAAUGCGAUACUUGGUGUGAAUUGCAGAAUCCCGUGAACCAUCGAGUUUUUGAACGCAAGUUGCGCCCAAAGCCAUUCGGUUGAGGGCACGUCUGCCUGGGCGUCACGC
Molecule: ribosomal RNA, 164 nt
Filed under: Leuzea centauroides
Lineage: Eukaryota; Viridiplantae; Streptophyta; Magnoliopsida; Asterales; Asteraceae
Description: 5.8S ribosomal RNA
Rfam family: 5.8S ribosomal RNA
About the family: 5.8S ribosomal RNA (5.8S rRNA) is a component of the large subunit of the eukaryotic ribosome. It is transcribed by RNA polymerase I as part of the 45S precursor that also contains 18S and 28S rRNA.
Source: RNAcentral